Molecule: unclassified non-coding RNA, 462 nt
Filed under: uncultured Basidiomycota
Lineage: Eukaryota; Fungi; Basidiomycota
Description: sequence contains ITS2
Rfam family: 5.8S ribosomal RNA (bases 1-153)
Source: RNAcentral
AACUUUCAGCAACGGAUCUCUCGGCUCUUGCAUCGAAGAAGAACGCAGUCCAUUGCGAAAAGUCAUGCGACCUGCACUCUUUGAGAAGCAUUACUCUUUGAACGCACCUUGCGCGCAUCAACACUGUUGGUGCGAGGUCCUGUUUGAGCAAGAAAAUUACUAUUUAGUUGACCAUUACGCUGGUGGUGGUUCAAAGGCAAGCGGGCGCCCGAACGACUCUAGGGCAGCGAGACGAGUAGCACGAAAAGCACCACUACGCACCUUGCAACCGCCAAGAGUGAAUGAUGCAUCUCUACGACACACCAACGCAAUCAAUAGACCAAAUGCUAACCUUCUAUGCUUUACUGGUGAAUCACUAGUUUACUGGUGGAUUAGAGAUCAAGGUAACUUACAUUCCACAUUCAGCUUCUCAAAUCAGGAGAGAGGGCCCGCUGAACUUAAGCAUAUCAAGAAGCGGAGGCU